AAUAAGUAAGCUAAAAAAGCUAUUAGGUUCAUACCCUAAAUAUAGGACUAAUAACCCUCUUAUUUAA
RNAcentral lists this transfer RNA (67 nucleotides) under Leptomyrmex pallens. RNAcentral describes it as "tRNA-Met". Lineage: Eukaryota; Metazoa; Arthropoda; Insecta; Hymenoptera; Formicidae. The record is from RNAcentral.